AAAUUUGUGAGGCCGCCGCCAUGUCCUCUGUGUGUGUCUCUCUGCAGGAACAGUCAUUUAAGACAUUAUUUCGAUGGUACACUACACCGAUGAAAGUUUAUGGAAUGCAUAUUUUUGAAAAAGAGGUUAAACUGGGUAUUCUUAUUGGCUGGAUCUCUGGAGUAUUGGACACGAGUGGAACAAAACCUUCUCCAUAAAAUAAACCUAGCCACCAGGAGAGCUCUGGCCCAGGUGUGGUUACAGAGGGAAACGCCCACACUAUCCAUGGUGAUAGAAAACAAAUAAAGACACUUUCCUUAUGGCCAAACUAACAGCACAGGUUCGAGGGACAAUGAACAAGUUAGAAAGGACUUAGGGCCCUUGGAUGGCUAGCGCAACUAGCAAAUAAGGGAUGUAUGGGGUGGGCUCAGUCCCUCACACAUCCCAUUCAUCAUAUGAUAGAUACCGAAAUAUAGCUGCAUAUAGCUCAAAUCUCUGACUUUAAGGAUCCCCCUAGGAGAUAAUCUUUCACUGAAUUGUCCCAGUAAACGUACCUAAUAUUGCCCAUAGACUUGUCAGUGUCUCAUAAGUGGCACUGUGGUCGGCCCCACUAGACCAUCUCCCCCCACACCCCACCUUUUUUUCCCCCUCCUAUCUUCUAUCCUACUAUUCCUAUUCUUUCUC
Pelobates cultripes (western spadefoot toad) is the source of this 663-nucleotide non-coding RNA. Lineage: Eukaryota; Metazoa; Chordata; Amphibia; Anura; Pelobatidae. The record is from the annotation of a GenBank genome assembly.